This 1885-nucleotide long non-coding RNA is filed under the name Marmota monax (woodchuck). Lineage: Eukaryota; Metazoa; Chordata; Mammalia; Rodentia; Sciuridae. The record is from RNAcentral.
CACAAUGGACAUGCCUCCACCUGUGCUUGCAGCUGCUGCAUUGGGCAGAGCCUCAUGGGUGCCUUCCCCUGAUAGGACCAGACGGCGGUGCAGCCUCCCCAAGUCCAGCUCCUGGAGGGCAUCCAUGGCACCCAGCUGGGCUCCAGAGGCGUCCUGGCAGGAGGAGGGCAGAGGGAGGAGCUGGAGGCCAAUUAGGUGCAUGCAGAAGUCGUGCAGAGGGAGGGUGUCCAGCAGGAGUCGUGGCCAUGGGGACAGAGGGGGAGCCAAGCCAGAGGCCCUCAGGGGAUGAUUGGCGCGUUAUGACCAGUUUAGUGCUUUGGUUUUUCUUAAUGGACAGGACAAAAUCCAAGAACGCCAAGUGUGGCUCUGUGAGACAGCUCUUUUUCCUUCAUUGGGAUCUGGAAUGUCCCCAGUGUCCCCAGAGGCCCCUGUGUCUUAAAGGCUUGGUGUCCAGCUUGGGGGGAGGGAGGUGGUGCAGCCUUCAGGUGGGGCCUGGCAGGAGGUCUCACGUCAAAGGGGCAUGACCUGGAAGGGAACCAGGACUCUGCUGGCCCCGGCCCCUCCCUCCUUGGCCAGGAAGAGAGCACCCGCUCUACCACAUGCUCCCGAAGCAACGCCCCCCCAUGUCACGGACUGAAGCUGCAGACUGUGAGCCCAAACAGAACUUUUCUCUUCCUGUGGAGACCCUCGGGUGCUUGUUAUGGAGGCAGGAGGCUGCCCAACCCCAGGGUAGAUGCUACAUUGGGCUGCAACAUGGAAUCCUCUGGCUCUGAGAUCCUGGGGACCUGCCUGGUUGUUUCACUUCACUUCACCUCACCCUGAUAGCCUUCCAGCAAAUUCCCCUUUGCUUAUACUGGCCAGAGGUGGUUGCAAGGGUUUCCACCUGUCUUCAAACUGCUGGCCCCUAGGACCCAUGAAUUUGGCAGCAAAUUCAGAAGGAAGUCUCAGCCCCUGGAGGCCAUCCAGGGAGGGAGAGCUGGGUUUGGAGGUGGCCCAUCCCUAGCCCCUGGCAAGCACAGUCAGACUGGGAGCAUCAUCCACAGAGCCAGAGAGUAAGGUGUAACCAAGACUUCCCACAUUGGCAUACUCCACCUGGCUCCUAGAUGUUGCCGCUCAACGCGGGCAGAGCCUGAGUCCCUGGUGCCCUGUUUUAACUCAUACCUAUCCUCUGCUGCCGCCUAGUGGUCACUGUGCCACACACCGUCUUCCUCACCCCCACCCACCGCCCACCCUAGGACACCGCAACCUGGAUUUUGUCUAGAAGCAUGGACCAUGGUUGACUUGAUUGCAAAAAGUGUGACAGGUUAGACCACAAGGAACAGCAAGAGUGAGCUCGCUUCCUCCCUUUCCUCCUCAAAUAUCUCCCAUUUCUUUUCAUAAACUCAAAGCAUCUUCCCUGGAGAUAAACAAAACCAAAGCAGCCAGUUGACAUCUGGGGCAGCCUUCUAAGUCACAGACUGACAUUCUCGCCGCCUGCCAGGAGGCACUUGGAAGGGCACGGAUUACCUCUGUGUAGUCCUUGCCCAAACUUGUGACCUGAACUUAAUUAUGAGAAAACGAACCCAAAGUUAAGGGGUACUGUACAAAAUCACCAGGAGAAUGUGUUGGAAGUGUCAUGGUCAAGGAAAUGUGGGUCUGAUUCAGGCUGAAUAUGGAGAAAUGAUAUCUAAAUGCCAGGUGAGGUCUCAGGCUCAAUCCUGAGCAAAGACAGAACAGCGGAUCAGACAGAGGCGGGGCCACAGCACCCAAGGCCUGCCCUUGUUCUGACCUCAGGUCUGGGGAAGCCUGUGACUAUUGCUUGGGUUUGGUUUUUGAGACACAGCCAUACUGAGUCGCUCAGGCUGGUCUCCAGCUCCCAGGUCAACCACCCUCCUGCCUCAGCCUC